AAAGUGUUUGUUCAUGCAAAUGUGUCUGAACUAUUGUGAACAUAGAAUUAGCGUGAUUUAAUAAAAUGACGAUUCUUUUCAUUUUCUUGAUUUUAAUCAACGCUGAUUUUGCCUUUGGACUUUCAAGCCCCGGUUCAACAUCCACCACACAAUAUGUUUCUAAUUCCCCCGAGAAAAAUUUUCCUAGUGAUGCAGCAUUGUUACAUCAGAUCCUUACUCAAGAAACCACACUUAGAAUGGAGCUAGAAAGGAAUGUUCGAGAUCUAAUAAAGCAAUUUGAACGAAUGAAAACGGACCAAGCUGCAGCUGAAACGGAAAUUAGUAUUUUGAAGCAAGCCAAAAUUGACCAGAACGCAUUGAAUCGACAACUACUUAGAAACAUUACCAAACUCACCAAAGAAAAUGACAACCUAAAGGAUGCGAUAUCGUAUCACCAACAACAUGUGAACGUUUCUUCAAAUAGUAUUCCAAACCCAGGCCAGACUGUAUGUCAGUGUGAUUUUGCAAACAUAACAAAAGAGAUUCAGAAUUUUAAGAGGGAAAUUAGGUACAUUUCUCUCUCAAUUAUGGGCCUUGAGAGAGAAACAGAAGCUAUGAAUUCAAAUAUUUUACAAACUGUUAACACCAGUGCAAAUCUGAUCAAUCAAGAAUUAUUGCAAAUAACCGUAAGCUUUCAAAAUUUCUCAACAGGAUAUGAAGAGGAUAAGUAUCACCAAGCGUACAUUUUAGCAGAUUUGAAAGAUCAGCAGACAAAUGUUUCGAAUACAAUAAAAGAUCAUAUUGACAACGAAGUUCUAAAUUUGAUGACAAAAUAUUUUGAGUUAGAAAACAAAAAUAACGAAUUAACAUAAUCUAUUAAAGGCAUUGAAUAUUUUCUAUCAAAAGUGGACGUCUUUAUGAAUGAUACAAAAGGACUACAAAGAUCAUUACUUUGGAUGCAGCAUGAAGAGAUUCAGACUUCAAAAGAGAUAUCUGAAAUCAUAAGAAAUGUCACAGCUAUACAAGACUUACAUGUAGUAGGUCCAUCUGAUGCUGUAGCGUUUAGUGCUACUAUAACGUCAGAAAUCACCUCUUCUAGUGGUCAAACUCUGGUAUUUCCUCACGUUCUUUGUAAUGUCGGUGGUGGAUAUAACAACAAAAACGGCAUCUUUACAGCGCCUGUUGAUGGAACCUAUGUGUUCUUUGUUCGAAUCACACCAUCGUCAAACCCUACCGAUAUGUACUUUAGCAUUGUUUUGAAUGGUAUUGAAGAGGCUAAACACCUGGUAUAUGGAAGAGAUAGUAUUCCCUUUAGAAUUUCGACAAACACAAUAGCAUUGCAACUGAACCACAGCGACAGAGUAUGGGUAAAAAUCAAUACAGGAGGAAGAAUGUGGUCCAGUGGCACACAUAGCGGGGACCAAACAUUUACAGGAUAUAAAGUUUAAUCGCUGAAUUGCAGAAUUAAAAAAAUCAAUU
Molecule: RNA transcript, 1458 nt
Organism: Saccostrea cuccullata (small rock oyster)
Lineage: Eukaryota; Metazoa; Mollusca; Bivalvia; Ostreida; Ostreidae
Gene name: cerebellin-2-like
Exons: 4
Source: RefSeq, a predicted model, not a curated record